GUCUACUGCCCUACCACCCUGAAAGCGCCCCAUCUCAUUUGAUCUUGGAAGCUAAGCAGUGCUGGGCCUGGUGAGUAGUUGGAU
This is a ribosomal RNA of Pan paniscus (pygmy chimpanzee), 84 nucleotides long. The record is from Ensembl. Lineage: Eukaryota; Metazoa; Chordata; Mammalia; Primates; Hominidae.